Molecule: ribosomal RNA, 1034 nt
Filed under: Mediterraneibacter gnavus
Lineage: Bacteria; Bacillati; Bacillota; Clostridia; Lachnospirales; Lachnospiraceae
Description: partial 23S ribosomal RNA
Rfam family: Bacterial large subunit ribosomal RNA
Source: RNAcentral
CGUAAGGCGAAGCUUUGAACUUAAGCCCCAGUAAACGGCGGCCGUAACUAUAACGGUCCUAAGGUAGCGAAAUUCCUUGUCGGGUAAGUUCCGACCCGCACGAAAGGCGUAAUGAUUUGGGCACUGUCUCAACAAUGCACCCGGUGAAAUUGAAAUACCAGUGAAGAUGCUGGUUACCUGCGCCAGGACGGAAAGACCCCAUGGAGCUUUACUCCAGCUUGAUACUGGGAUUCGAUAUUGCAUGUACAGGAUAGGUGGGAGACUGAGAACUGAUGACGCCAGUUGUCAGGGAGUCACUGUUGGGAUACCACCCUUGUAGUAUUGGAUUUCUAACCAGCAGCCGUGAACCGGCUGGGGGACAAUGUCAGGUGGGGAGUUUGACUGGGGCGGUCGCCUCCGAAAGGGUAUCGGAGGCGCUCAAAGGUUCCCUCAGAAUGGUUGGAAACCAUUCGAAGAGUGCAAAGGCAGAAGGGAGCUUGACUGCGACACCGACGGGUGGAGCAGGUACGAAAGUAGGACUUAGUGAUCCGGUGGUAUAAAGUGGGAUUGCCAUCGCUCAACGGAUAAAAGCUACCCUGGGGAUAACAGGCUUAUCACUCCCAAGAGUUCACAUCGACGGAGUGGUUUGGCACCUCGAUGUCGGCUCAUCGCAUCCUGGGGCUGAAGUAGGUCCCAAGGGUUGGGCUGUUCGCCCAUUAAAGCGGUACGCGAGCUGGGUUCAGAACGUCGUGAGACAGUUCGGUCCCUAUCCGGCGUGGGCGUAGGAUAUUUGAGAGGAGCUGCCCUUAGUACGAGAGGACCGGGGUGGACUGGCCGCUGGUGGAUCUGUUGUAUUACCAAAUGCAUAGCAGAGUAGCCAAGCCGGGACGGGAUAAACGCUGAAGGCAUCUAAGCGUGAAGCCCCCCUCAAGAUGAGAUAUCCCAUAACGUCAAGUUAGUAAGACCCCUUGAAGACGACGAGGUAGAUAGGGCAGAGGUGGAAGUGCGGUAACGCAUGGAGCUGACUGUUACUAAUAGGUCGAGGGCAUAACCAA